AUGACCCCUUGGCAGCAAAAAGCAUUUACCAAACUCCUCGGUCUUCGGUACACCAUCAAGUACAUGAAGGGGACAGAAAAUGUGGGUGCGGAUGCUCUUUCCCGUGCCACCCACACUGAGCAAUUGCAAGCAAUAUCAUCUUGUGGACCCAGUUGGAUGGAAGACAUCAUUGCUAGCUACAACUCAAACCCGCAAGCCCAGAAAUUGCUGGAACAGUUAGCCAUUAGAGAAAAUCCAAAAGGAUGCUUCACUCUUGAGCAAGGCAUCUUACGAUUUAGAGGACGCAUCUGGCUAGGUGGCAGCACAUCAAUGCAACAACAGGUGAUCAAGGCGUUUCAUGAUAACCCCCUUGGAGGACAAUCGGGCUUUCCAGUAACAUGGCGCCGAGUACGCCGCCUCUUUGCUUGGGCCAAAAUGAAAACACACAUUCAGCACUAUGUGCAUUGCUGUCCUACAUGUCAGCAGGCCAAGCCAGACCGUGCCGCUUACCCUAGGCUGCUCGAACCCCUACCGGUGCCCAAGGAAUCCUGGGGGAUGAUCACAAUGGAUUUCAUUGACGGGCUCCCAACUUCUAGAGGUGUGAACUACAUUUUGGUGAUCGUCGAUAAGCUGACAAAAUUUGCUCACUUUCUGCCCCUAGCACACCCUUAUACAGCCUCCAAAGUAGCACUGCUCUACAUGAACCAAGUCUACAGGCUAUAUGGAUUUUCGGGGUCGAUUGUGUCUGACCGUGAUUCGAUGUUCAUGAGUCAUUUUUGGCAAGAGCUCUUCAAGUAUGCAGGCACGUGUCUCAGAAUGAGUUCAGCCAACCACCCGCAGACGGAUGGCCAGACGGAAAGGGUCAAUCAGUGCCUGGAAACCUUCCUCCGAUGCUUCACGCACGCGUGCCCCCGUCGAUGGAGCUACUGGAUUCCUCUUGCACAGUUCUGGUACAACUCUUCCCAUCUUUCUGCCAUUGGGAUGUCACCAUUUCGUGCUAUGUAUGGGCAUGAACCACGGCAAUGGGGGAUUACUACAAUGACGGCUUGUUCAGUACCGGCCCUUCAUUCCUGGCUGGAUGAACGCGCCGUCGUGCAAGACCUUCUCCAACAGCAUCUACACCGAGCGAGACAGUGCAUGAAGCAACAUGCUGACAAAAAACGAACAUUCCGGGCCUUUGAGGUGGGCGACUCAGUUUAUCUCAAGCUGCAACCUUACAUCCAAACUUCAGUGGCUCCCCGCGCCUGUCACAAGCUGGCCUUCCGCUGCUUUGGGCCCUUCAAAAUUAUUGGGCGGAUCAAUGAAGUGGCCUACAGGCUUCAUCUACCACCUCAUGCGCAAGUGCACCCUGUCUUGAGCUUCCAACUUAUUCUGCCAUACCUUCAGUGCCCGUGGUAG
This 1377-nucleotide ribosomal RNA is filed under the name Triticum aestivum (bread wheat). Its description in RNAcentral is "partial small subunit ribosomal RNA". Lineage: Eukaryota; Viridiplantae; Streptophyta; Magnoliopsida; Poales; Poaceae. The record is from RNAcentral.